This 77-nucleotide transfer RNA is filed under the name Veillonella atypica. Its description in RNAcentral is "tRNA-Arg". It matches the Rfam family "tRNA". Rfam says of the family: Transfer RNA (tRNA) molecules are approximately 80 nucleotides in length. Their secondary structure includes four short double-helical elements and three loops (D, anti-codon, and T loops). RNAcentral also lists the same sequence under 5 other names. The record is from RNAcentral. Lineage: Bacteria; Bacillati; Bacillota; Negativicutes; Veillonellales; Veillonellaceae.
GCGUUCAUAGCUCAGUAGGAUAGAGCGACAGUUUCCUAAACUGCAGGUCGGGGGUUCAAUUCCCUCUGGGCGCACCA